This 33-nucleotide non-coding RNA is filed under the name unclassified sequences. The record is from RNAcentral.
GGGGCGUUUGCCGAAAAGCCCAUAGAGUAGGCC